CAAUAUCCCAUGAGCUACUUUCCACCGUUGUGCUCUUCAGCAAGGCCUUUUUACCCUAGAUCUCAAAAAUAGAAUUAAAUUAAGGAUUGUUGUUUAUAUUGUGUAUAAUGUUCAAUACUGAUGGUUGAUGAGGGAGUGGUGGUUGAGAAGGGGCUUUGAUGACAUAGACGCCACUUCCUCUGUCUUUAAAAGUCAGACCGACAGAGAGACAGCAGUAACCAGGGUUUAAGUGUUGGAGAUGUUACUGCACUGGUGUCUGCUGUUGAUCGGUGUCUCUCUCAGCACAUCAACCACAGCAGCAGAAGCCAUUCUCUGGGUGAAGACAGGGGAGAAGUUUACCAUGAAGUGCUCCACCACUCUAAAAGACCAGGACGGAAUGUACCUGUAUGUUGGGCUGGACAGGGACAGGGAGGUGUUGUAUUACUACCAGCGUGACUCCAAGCUGACCCCCAGGAAAGGCUACUGGGAGAGAGUGAAGACUGAGGGACCUGUGGACCAACUGACCAUCAUCGUCAGUAACCUGACCAUAGAGGACACAGGAGUCUACUGGUGUGUUUACACAAAAGUCAACAAAUCCACGUUCAAUAUUUUUAGCACCCAAGGCAAAGGCUCCACUCUGGUGGUGGUGAAUGACGAUGCCCCACAGCUGCCAUGUCCUACAGCUACUGCAGUAACGCUGACCCCCUUUCACCCAGCCAAUGAGAAGCCAUGCCCAUCUGGCAUGGUAAACAUCAUCAUCAUCAUCAUCAUCACCAGCCUCUUGACCAUCCUGCUGUGUGCCAUCUUCCUCAUCUGUCUCCCUCCACGGGUGAAGAGGUGCUGUAACCAGGGAUGAUCCACACCACAGGUCUUUCCUGACUCGGUCUAUGUAGAAAUGGCCAAGAAUCACAUUUAUCAACCAGACACACAGCAGGUAGAAUCGUACCCCUAUUCUGCGUCUACCAAAGGAGGAACUAGGACUACUGAGUAGCUUCUUCAAAUGACUUUUCUGAAUAUUGCUUCUUUGCUUUUUCAGAAUUGAAAAGCCUGUUCUGCUGUAUUUCACAGUUCUAGCCUCAAUGCAAGUCUUAGUGGUAAAUUGUUUGUAUGUGUCGCACCAUACCAUGCUUAUGUGUGUGAAUAAAAUCUCUAUAUGGAAAGUAUAGGAGGGAACAGCCAAUGUUAUAUUCCAGGGCUAUUCAACUAUAUUCUUACGGGGGCCAGAUGUAAAAAAGGUUAAUUGCAGGGGGGCCGGACAUUUUCCACAUGCGACACACACACACAAAUAAAGCACUUUUCUUCUAAUGAAAUGGUGCUAAAAGUAGUUAGGGAAGAAGUGGAAAGUGCUCGAUCAACGUGAGUUUAUGUGCAACCAAAAAAAUUUCUCCUCAUUGAACAGGCCCAAUGCUUGCUCACCAUUUUAUCUAUUAAAAGAUUCUUAGAAGUAAUUUAGACAACAACCAUAGUGCUUUUCAUUUUGGCACUAAACUUCGGAUUUUGAUGCAAAUCUUUUAUGAAUGGUCAGAAUUGAUCAAAGGGCCAGUCUAAAUUACUGAAUGGGCCGGAUCUGGCCCAUGGACCACCAGUUGAAUAUCCCUGUUUUAGUCCAUAAGGUGUACAGUUGAUAGUGAUGGAGGCCUCUCUAUAACUUUUUUCAAUACAUCAGGUCAUAAGAUUUAUAUUGGUUUUAGUUCUGAACAAUAGUGUCGGCUGUGUUGUUCUCUAGUGUUUUUAGGUGAAAAGCUGUUCCUGUGCAUGGUGUCUGCCACAAAGUUAAAAUGAGAACUGUUUGUUAAGACUUUUAUUAUAUUUUAUCAUAGGUACAAAUAUUUUAGCUGCCUAAACUUCAUCAGGUACAUCAGGAUAUAAGCCAUUUUUACAUUACAUUUGAUUAUUCUAUGGUUUUAGUUGAGAUAGCUAGUAGGUUAAAACCAUAAUGAUCUGAGUAAAAAUGUUUCAUGAAAAAAUAAUUAUUCAUUUUUACCAAGUGACGAAGUAUUUGUCUUACACUAUGAGUCCCUUUUUUACUUAUGUUUCAACUUCCUAACAGCUUUUUUCACUUUAAAAUAGUUGUAACUGUGUAUUGUAUCUUUUUAAAGGAAGAAAAUAUUCUCACCAUUUGCCUUUUAAUCAAAGUAUUGAUAUAUUCAUGUGUAAUUUAACUUGUGUAUUGAUGUUUAUGUUGUAUUUGUGUAUGUGGUACGCAUUGGGGAUGUUCAGCUAUAUUGUAUGUUUUGGAAAGCUUUCUAUCUCAACCAAGUGAAGACAAGUUCAGACAGGGAACCAGAGUAUUUGCAUCAGCUGAUAUUGCACCAAUUAGAUUCACUCUACCGCUUUCUGACCACCCACCCCAGACUCCAUCUGCCUUGUUCGCUGUUUAUUAUUAUUAUUAUUGUCAUUAUUAUUAUUAUUAUUAUGUCAUCAUUACGCAUGCUCUGACAGUGAGCUACCCCAAAGGAGCAGAGCCUAACGCCAAGAGUAACAUAUAGAUGUGUUUUAAUAUUUUCUAAUAAAUGUCCCAUUAAAAUGUCAAUAUACAUGAGCAGCAUCAUGAAGUUGUUUUUUCAACAUACUAUCUUCUACAAUCAUAUCCAAAAUCAUAACAAUAAGUCAAGUACUCUAUUAAUGUCACACAUAUCCUGUAAGCCAGACCUCCGUGUGCUGCUGGUGACAGUGGCUUCUGAUGUGGUGGCAGCAGACACAUGCGAAACUAUACCCAACACCUCAGGGGAACAUAAAUGCAUCUCUUUUACACGCCAUCAUUUUCAGAAACCAGUGAGUGAAUAACUCAACAACCAAACACACAGAGCCUACCCUGCAUGGCAUACGAAUAUGGAGCGCAGGCUGUAUCCCCACUCUCACACACUCUACUAGUUAUUUAUUAUGGAGAGACAUGUUGAGAGAGAAGUGUGUCUUAAAAGUCAAACUUUUUCUUAACGUAUAAAUCUUACUCUUAAUCAGAAUUCUUAAGGCCGAUGUUGUUUUGUGUCUUCUACAACGGGUUGGUCAAAUCAAGCAUUGUGGUUGGUUGAGACGCGCUCUACAAAGAACCAGUUUAGCACGGGUAGACCUAUAACGCAAACACGAGCAUCUUGUUUUCUGUUCCAUCUGAGAAAUCCCUGCGCAUCCACUGUCCCAUCAGCCCAGCCGGCCAAUUGAUUAACUGGAUCGCCACUGUACAAAGCAUCUAGACAUUACUUCCCCUUGCUUAUAGCCUAAAGUUUGGUUUGCAACAACGGGGGUUUGUAUAAAUGUUGUUGUCUGUCUCUCGAAAUUUGCAAAACUAUUUCAAUAUUGAAAUUCGAUUCCCACUGUCCUGUUUGAUUUGAUUUAUUAGGAUCCCCCUUAGCCGACGCCAAUGACACCUGCUACUUUUACUGGGGUCCGACAUUACAGACAAAAGACUUUACGAUUUACAUUUACAUUUAAAAACAUUAACAUGUAGUGUGUGUGUGUGUGUGUGCGCAUCUAUUAGUUACACAUACAUGUCAGUAUAUACACAACACCAAGUGGGUCAUGGGGAGAGGCAUUGUGCUGUGAGGUGUUGCUUUAUUUGUUUUUUAAACCAGGUUUGCUGUUUACUUGCGCUAUAUAAGAUGGAAGGGAAUUCCAUGCACUCAUGGCUCUGUAUAAUACUGUAUGCUUCCCUUUUCUGGACCUGGAGACUGUGAAAAGACCCCUGGUGGCAUGUCUGUUGGGGUGUGUGUUAUGUGUUAUGUGUGUAAGUUGACUAUGCAAACUAUUUGGAAUUUCCAACACGUUGUUUCUUCUAAAAACAAGAAGUGACGCAGUCAAUGUUUCCUCAACUCUUAGCCAAGAGAGACUGGCAUGCACAGUACUAAUAUUAGCCCUCUAAUUACAAUGGAGAGCAAAACAUGCCGCUCUGUUCUGGGCCAGCUGCGUCUUAACUCGGUCUUUCUUUGCAGCACUUGACCAUAUAACUGGACAAUAAUCAAGAUAAGAUUAAACUAGAGCCUGAAGGACUUGUUCUGUGGAGUGUGGUGUCAAAAAAGCAGAGCAUCUCUUUAUUACAGACAAACCUCUCCCCAUCUUUUCAACCAUUGAAUUUACACUGAACAAAAAUAUAAAUGCAACAUGUAAAGUGUUGGUCCCAUGUUUCAUGAGCUGAAAUAAAAGAUCCCAGAAAUGUUCCAUAUGCCCCAAAAAUGUUUUACACAAAUUUGUUUAUGUAAUGAAAAUUAUAUGACUAAAGGUUUGACUAAAUGAUUUCACCCUGAAAAUGUAUAACCGAGUGAUUAUAAGAUGAAGGUACUAAUGUGUGUGUGUGUAGGAAAAGUUGAAGCUUAAGGAUUUAGCAAUGUAAGCAAGACAUUCAAGGAAAAAGGGGAACUGUUAACAGACAGCAGACAACUUGUGACUACUGUGAAACUGAUAACAGGAAGAAGGUCUCCCCACACAGGGAGGGGAGAAACCGUUAGGCUUGCAGUAGAUUAUGUAACAUGGGGCAGGAUAUGAUAAGCAAUGUAUGUGACGGAGAAGACUUGUAAAUAAGCAUUGACAGUGUUAACCUGUUUGGGAUAGGGGGCAGUAUUUUCACGGCCGGAUAAAAAACGUACCCGAUUUAAUCUGGGUACUACUCCUGCCCAGAAACUAGAAUAUGCAUAUAAUUUGUAGAUUUGGAUAGAAAACACUCUAAAGUUUCUAAAACUGUUUGAAUGGUGUCUGUGAGUAUAACAGAACUCGUAUCUGAUGCAGAUCAUCAAAUGUUAG
This is a long non-coding RNA of Salmo trutta (river trout), 4710 nucleotides long. Ensembl lists it as uncharacterized. The record is from Ensembl. NCBI's taxonomy places the organism in Eukaryota, Metazoa, Chordata, Actinopteri, Salmoniformes, Salmonidae.